CCUUAGAUGUUCUGGGCCGCACGCGCGCUACACUGACAGAGCCAACGAGUAUAAACCUUGUCCGAAAGGUCUGGGUAAUCUUGUUAAACUCUGUCGUGCUGGGGAUAGGGCAUUGCAAUUAUUGCCCUUCAACGAGGAAUAUCUAGUAAGCGCAAGUCAUCAGCUUGCGUUGAUUACGUCCCUGCCCUUUGUACACACCGCCCGUCGCUACUACCGAUUGAAUGGCUCAGUGAGGCCCUCGGACUGGCUCAGGGAGGUCGGCAACGACCACCCAGAGCCGGAAAGUUGGUCAAACUUGGUCAUUUAGAGGAAGUAAAAGUCGUAACAAGGUUUGAAGUAUGACCCUUCUGUGGUGACACUUACGAGAAGCCUUUGCGGCCCCGCAAGGGGUACCGGCCGCGACUAUAAAUGAAAGGCAAGCCGGCAUUAAAUCGCAAGUCAGCUCAGCUGGCUACACUUUCGAAUUGCGGGAAACCCCUAAAGCCGACCUCUACCAACCGUUCAGGGAAACCUGGAUGGGGCCUGUGCUAACAUCACAGGGUACGGUAACAAUGAGGAGGAUAUAUGGGCAAUCCGCAGCCAAGUCCCUAAGGCUCUCGAGCUAUGGGAAAGGUUCACAGACUAAGUGGAAGUGGGUUGGGGCGGUUGUAAUCCGCCCCGGCUUAAGAUAUAGUCGGGCUGUCCGCGAGAGCAGACAGGAUGUCACAAAUCAACCGUUCCGUAGGUGAACCUGCGGAAGGAUCAUUACCAAUCAGGCUGUCUAGGCUGCAAAGCCCUGACGCUUUCAACCCAUUGUGAACCAAAAAACCUUUCGCUUCGGCAGCUGCCCGGUUGGAAACACCCAGGCGUCAGCCUGCCGCUAGCACAAACCAAAAAACUUGCAGAAAACCUCUGUCUGAUAACCAAAUUUUCGAAUGAAAAUUAAAACUUUCAACAACGGAUCUCUUGGUUCCCGCAUCGAUGAAGAACGCAGCGAAACGCGAUAGUUAAUGUGAAUUGCAGAAUUCAGUGAAUCAUCGAGUCUUUGAACGCACAUUGCGCCCAUUGGUAUUCCAUUGGGCAUGUCUGUUUGAGCGUCAUUACAACCCUCGGUACCAACCGGUUUUGAGCGAGCGCGGGUCCUUACCCGGGCUGGCUUUAAAGUUGUAAGCUCUGCUGGCUGCUCAGCCCAACCAGAACAUAGUAAAACCUACUUGUUCAGCGGUCAGGUUGAAGCGGUACGGCCUGAACAAAACCUACCCAACUCUAAGGUUUGACCUCAGAUCAGAUAAGGAUACCCGCUGAACUUAAGCAUAUCAAUAAGCGGAGGAAAAGAAACCAACAGGGAUUGCCUCAGUAACGGCGAGUGAAGCGGCAAGAGCUCAAAUUUGAAAUCUGGAGCCUUCGGCUUCCGAGUUGUAAUUUGAAGAGGAUGUUUCGGUUGCGGCCUGGGCCUAAGUUCCUUGGAACAGGACGUCAUGGAGGGUGAGAAUCCCGUACAUGGCUGCAGGCUUGCUUCCAUGUGAAACUCCUUCGAAGAGUCGAGUUGUUUGGGAAUGCAGCUCAAAAUGGGUGGUAAAUUUCAUCUAAAGCUAAAUAUUGGCGGGAGACCGAUAGCGCACAAGUAGAGUGAUCGAAAGAUGAAAAGCACUUUGAAAAGAGAGUUAAACAGUACGUGAAAUUGUUGAAAGGGAAGCGCUUGCAAUCAGACUCGCUUUCGGUUGAUCAACGUUCCUUUUGGUUCGUGCACUCUGCCGUUGGCGGGCCAGCAUCAGUUGAGGCGGCGGGACAAAGGUAGCGGGAAUGUGGCUCCCUCGCGGGAGUGUUAUAGCCCGUUGCGCCAUGCCGCCAGCUUCGACUGAGGUCCGCGAUUUAUCUAGGAUGCUGGCUUAAUGGUUGUAAGCGAC
This 1886-nucleotide ribosomal RNA is filed under the name Dactylellina leptospora. RNAcentral's name for it is "eukaryotic LSU rRNA". The stretch from base 1254 to 1886 matches the Rfam family "Eukaryotic large subunit ribosomal RNA", at positions 1 to 648 of the family's 3401-position model. The record is from RNAcentral. Lineage: Eukaryota; Fungi; Ascomycota; Orbiliomycetes; Orbiliales; Orbiliaceae.